AGGAAUAUAUAGGUAACCUGCCCUUUAGUCUGGGACAACUUGCCGAAAGGUGAGCUAAUACUGGAUACGUUCCUGAUUCCGCAUGGUUUUGGGAAGAAAGAUUUAUCGCUAAAGGAAGGGCCUAUAUCUGAUUAGCUUGUUGGUGGGGUAAUGGCCUACCAAGGCAACGAUCAGUAGCUGGUCUGAGAGGACGAACAGCCACACUGGGACUGAGACACGGCCCAGACUCC
Molecule: ribosomal RNA, 230 nt
Filed under: uncultured bacterium
Lineage: Bacteria
Description: partial 16S ribosomal RNA
Rfam family: Bacterial small subunit ribosomal RNA
Source: RNAcentral